UACGUAGGGUGCGAGCGUUAAUCGGAAUUACUGGGCGUAAAGCGUGCGCAGGCGGUUUUGUAAGCCAGAUGUGAAAGCCCCGGGCUUAACCUGGGAAUGGCAUUUGGGACUGCAAGGCUUGAGUGCGGCAGAGGGGGAUGGAAUUCCGCGUGUAGCAGUGAAAUGCGUAGAUAUGCGGAGGAACACCGAUGGCGAAGGCAAUCCCCUGGGCCUGCACUGACGCUCAUGCACGAAAGCGUGUGGGGCAAACAGG
This 253-nucleotide ribosomal RNA is filed under the name uncultured bacterium. Its description in RNAcentral is "partial 16S ribosomal RNA". It matches the Rfam family "Bacterial small subunit ribosomal RNA", at positions 524 to 776 of the family's 1533-position model. The record is from RNAcentral.